UUUCUUUUUCCAUGACAACUAUUUCUUGUUGCAGUUGUUAGCGUUGGUGCAGCACUUUUCUUGUUUCAACAGUUGGUUGGGAUCAAUGUUGUUGUAUACUAUUCAACUUCUGUAUUCCGUAGUGCGGGGAUUGCCUCUGAUGUUGCAGCAAGUGCUCUUGUUGGAGCCGCAAAUGUCUUUGGCACAGCUGUUGCAUCAUCCUUGAUGGAUAGACAAGGAAGAAAGAGUCUUCUAAUCAUAAGCUUUGGUGGAAUGGCUGCCUCUAUGAUGCUGCUUUCUCUGUCCUUUACUUGGAAGGUUCUGGCACCAUAUUCUGGCCCCCUUGUAGUUCUUG
Molecule: long non-coding RNA, 334 nt
Organism: Humulus lupulus (European hop)
Lineage: Eukaryota; Viridiplantae; Streptophyta; Magnoliopsida; Rosales; Cannabaceae
Exons: 3
Source: RefSeq, a predicted model, not a curated record